This 253-nucleotide ribosomal RNA is filed under the name uncultured bacterium. RNAcentral's name for it is "partial 16S ribosomal RNA". It matches the Rfam family "Bacterial small subunit ribosomal RNA", at positions 524 to 776 of the family's 1533-position model. The record is from RNAcentral.
UACGUAGGGGGCAAGCGUUGUCCGGAAUCAUUGGGCGUAAAGAGCGUGUAGGCGGCUCGAUAAGUCUGCUGUGAAAGUCCAGGGCUCAACCCAGGAAGGCCGGUGGAAACUGUCGGGCUCGAGUCCGGAAGAGGUGAGUGGAAUUCCUGGUGUAGCGGUGAAAUGCGCAGAUAUCAGGAGGAACACCAAUGGCGAAGGCAGCUCGCUGGGACGUGACUGACGCUGAGACGCGAAAGCGUGGGGAGCAAACAGG